UUACUCACAUUCUGAAGUCACUGACACCUAUUAGUCCAUCCUGUCCUGGAGGAAAGACUGCUUUGCAAGCUCUGCCUGUGCCUUUCUGUGGGAAGCCAGACGAUCAACGGGUGUCAUUGUUGGCUCCACAAGAGAGGUCAUUUUGCUUGUUGCAGGAUGAAGACAGUAAAAUCUGGUACUCAAGUUGGCUCAGUUCACUGUAUAUAUAAUGAGUUUCUGCACUAAGGAUAGAAAGCACAAAGAGCAGUUAGUAGGUGGUGCCAGCGGAUGUCUGUGGAGACUGGGAUAGAAUGGCUGAGCGUGUGGGUGCGCAGCUGGGAGCAGCCAUGGCAGUAAGGUAAGUAGAAGAUAGGCACUGGGAAGCAUUAAAGGUUAAUUUUUAAAAGAGGAUGUGUCAUGACUCAUGCAGUUACAGAAUGAACAUGGGUCAAAGAUUUUAUUUAACGCUAAUUAAUGAG
This 458-nucleotide long non-coding RNA is filed under the name Callithrix jacchus (white-tufted-ear marmoset). RNAcentral's name for it is "lncRNA (ENSCJAG00000072066.1)". Lineage: Eukaryota; Metazoa; Chordata; Mammalia; Primates; Cebidae. The record is from RNAcentral.